GACGAACGCUGGCGGCGUGCUUAACACAUGCAAGUCGAACGGAAAGGCCCUGCUUUUGUGGGGUGCUCGAGUGGCGAACGGGUGAGUAACACGUGAGUAACCUGCCCUUGACUUUGGGAUAACUUCAGGAAACUGGGGCUAAUACCGGAUAGGAGCUCCUGCUGCAUGGUGGGGGUUGGAAAGUUUCGGCGGUUGGGGAUGGACUCGCGGCUUAUCAGCUUGUUGGUGGGGUAGUGGCUUACCAAGGCUUUGACGGGUAGCCGGCCUGAGAGGGUGACCGGGCAGAUGGGGAGAGAGAUACGGACGAGGCGCCUGCGGGAGGCAGGAGGGGGGAAGGUUGGAGACGGGGCGGAAGGUUGAAGCACGAAGGCGGCGUGGGGGAUGGCGGACUGGGGGUUGUAAACCGAGCUCGCCUGUGACGAGGCGUGAGUGACGGUAAGGGAUAAAGAAGCAACGGCUAACUACGU
RNAcentral lists this ribosomal RNA (467 nucleotides) under uncultured bacterium. RNAcentral describes it as "partial 16S ribosomal RNA". It matches the Rfam family "Bacterial small subunit ribosomal RNA", at positions 28 to 506 of the family's 1533-position model. The record is from RNAcentral.